GAGUUUGAUCAUGGCUCAGAACGAACGCUGGCGGCAUGCCUAACACAUGCAAGUCGAACGAGACCUUCGGGUCUAGUGGCGCACGGGUGCGUAACGCGUGGGAACCUGCCUUUAGGUUCGGAAUAACAGUGAGAAAUUACUGCUAAUACCGGAUAAUGUCUUCGGACCAAAGAUUUAUCGCCUUUAGAUGGGCCCGCGUUGGAUUAGCUAGUUGGUGGGGUAAAGGCCUACCAAGGCGACGAUCCAUAGCUGGUCUGAGAGGAUGAUCAGCCACACUGGGACUGAGACACGGCCCAGACUCCUACGGGAGGCAGCAGUGGGGAAUAUUGGACAAUGGGCGAAAGCCUGAUCCAGCAAUGCCGCGUGAGUGAUGAAGGCCUUAGGGUUGUAAAGCUCUUUUACUGGGGAUGAUAAUGACAGUACCCAGAGAAUAAGCUCCGGCUAACUCCGUGCCAGCAGCCGCGGUAAUACGGAGGGAGCUAGCGUUGUUCGGAAUUACUGGGCGUAAAGCGCACGUAGGCGGCUUUUUAAGUCAGGGGUGAAAUCCCGGGGCUCAACCCCGGAACUGCCCUUGAAACUGGGAAGCUAGAAUCUUGGAGAGGCGAGUGGAAUUCCGAGUGUAGAGGUGAAAUU
This 633-nucleotide ribosomal RNA is filed under the name Porphyrobacter sp. Its description in RNAcentral is "bacterial SSU rRNA". It matches the Rfam family "Bacterial small subunit ribosomal RNA", at positions 9 to 688 of the family's 1533-position model. The record is from RNAcentral. Lineage: Bacteria; Pseudomonadati; Pseudomonadota; Alphaproteobacteria; Sphingomonadales; Erythrobacteraceae.